ACUCCAGCAUGACUCGUGACUCGUAAGAGACGCCCAUGACACCUCACAUCCUUGUCCAACGUGUGCCCAAGGCCACGUCAUCCCACUCAUGGAGCUCUCUCACCGGCUCGUCGACCAUGGCAGCAGUUGGGCCAAAGCAGCAGGAGACGUUGCAGCUAUCCCAAAGCUGCCGCCACUCCACACGUAACUGAUUCCGGCGCAAUGGAAGUCCAUAUGGGCAGCCCGUCAUCUCGUCCAUACAGUAAUUAAUUACCCAACGGCAAUAUACAAAAGCAAAUAGUUUGUAAAAGUCAUCAAUAUAUCUUGUUUAUUUAAAUUUCAUUGCAUGAUUUGUCACCGUAUUGAAAUCAUCAAUAAUCAAAUCUGUCGUGACCUUCAUUGUAACCUCUCUCUCAACAUGAGACAAGAAAUUAAAUCGAAAAUAGUUUUGAAGAUACUCCC
This 441-nucleotide long non-coding RNA is filed under the name Setaria viridis. Its description in RNAcentral is "long non-coding RNA (SVIR_LNC009023)". The record is from RNAcentral. Lineage: Eukaryota; Viridiplantae; Streptophyta; Magnoliopsida; Poales; Poaceae.